AAGGUCUUCGGAUUGUAAACUCCUGUUGCCCGGGACGAAAAGCUUCAACCUAAUACGUUGAAGUCUGACGGUACCGGGUGAGGAAGCCCCGGCUAACUCUGUGC
This 104-nucleotide ribosomal RNA is filed under the name uncultured bacterium. Its description in RNAcentral is "partial 16S ribosomal RNA". It matches the Rfam family "Bacterial small subunit ribosomal RNA", at positions 411 to 508 of the family's 1533-position model. The record is from RNAcentral.